RNAcentral lists this ribosomal RNA (301 nucleotides) under uncultured bacterium. RNAcentral's name for it is "partial 16S ribosomal RNA". It matches the Rfam family "Bacterial small subunit ribosomal RNA", at positions 509 to 807 of the family's 1533-position model. The record is from RNAcentral.
CAGCCGCCGCGGUAAAACAGAGGGUGCAAGCGUUAAUCGGAAUUACUGGGCGUAAAGCGCGCGUAGGUGGUUUGUUAAGUUGGAUGUGAAAUCCCCGGGCUCAACCUGGGAACUGCAUCCAAAACUGGCAAGCUAGAGUAUGGUAGAGGGUGGUGGAAUUUCCUGUGUAGCGGUGAAAUGCGUAGAUAUAGGAAGGAACACCAGUGGCGAAGGCGACCACCUGGACUGAUACUGACACUGAGGUGCGAAAGCGUGGGGAGCAAACAGGAUUAGAUACCCGCGUAGUCCCUGUCUCUUAUAC